CUGGAGGUGCGGAGCCCGUGCGGGGAGCAAGGGGUGCGUGGGUGCUGCCGGGUCAGCUCUCCAGCUGAGCAGCAAGCCUUUCCUGUGUGGUAUCCAUGCCAGCUCUGCUGCCCGCACAGGAGCGUGUUGCUGGCACGCUUCUCGCUGAGUUGUCCCUGCCCGUGGGUGACGUGCGUAUGGGGGUGGAAGCAACUCCCCCCCCCCCCCUGCCCUGAAGCCUUCAUCCAGAGACUUCUCGCAGCGGCUGUACUUUUCCAGCGUGUGCAGAACAUUGCUGCGUCUGCCAGGCAGGAGGGAGACCUGCGGCUUCGUUGAGGACUCCUGGAAAGCAGGCAGGAGGGAUGCACAGGCUGAUGCUUGAACGCGGGUUCCCUGCGAGUAAAAGCAUCCCUGUCUUCGUGCCCUUCACCCCUCUCUCUGCUUGUUAUUUGCUGAUUAAGGUCUAACUAUAGUCCAGAGAUUGCUUUUGGAAUAGAAAUUACUUAAAAGGU
Molecule: long non-coding RNA, 491 nt
Organism: Aquila chrysaetos chrysaetos
Lineage: Eukaryota; Metazoa; Chordata; Aves; Accipitriformes; Accipitridae
Exons: 2
Source: RefSeq, a predicted model, not a curated record